RNAcentral lists this ribosomal RNA (947 nucleotides) under Weissella paramesenteroides. RNAcentral's name for it is "bacterial SSU rRNA". It matches the Rfam family "Bacterial small subunit ribosomal RNA", at positions 48 to 955 of the family's 1533-position model. Lineage: Bacteria; Bacillati; Bacillota; Bacilli; Lactobacillales; Lactobacillaceae. The record is from RNAcentral.
CUAAUACAUGCAAGUCGAACGCUUUGUCUUUAAUUGAUCUGACGAGCUUGCUCUGAUUUGAUUUUAUCUGACAAAGAGUGGCGAACGGGUGAGUAACACGUGGGUAACCUACCUCUUAGCAGGGGAUAACAUUUGGAAACAAGUGCUAAUACCGUAUAAUACCAACAACCGCAUGGUUGUUGGUUGAAAGAUGGUUCUGCUAUCACUAAGAGAUGGACCCGCGGUGCAUUAGCUAGUUGGUAAGGUAACGGCUUACCAAGGCAAUGAUGCAUAGCCGAGUUGAGAGACUGAUCGGCCACAAUGGGACUGAGACACGGCCCAUACUCCUACGGGAGGCAGCAGUAGGGAAUCUUCCACAAUGGGCGCAAGCCUGAUGGAGCAACGCCGCGUGUGUGAUGAAGGGUUUCGGCUCGUAAAACACUGUUAUAAGAGAAGAACGGCACUGAGAGUAACUGUUCAGUGUGUGACGGUAUCUUACCAGAAAGGAACGGCUAAAUACGUGCCAGCAGCCGCGGUAAUACGUAUGUUCCAAGCGUUAUCCGGAUUUAUUGGGCGUAAAGCGAGCGCAGACGGUUAUUUAAGUCUGAAGUGAAAGCCCUCAGCUCAACUGAGGAAUGGCUUUGGAAACUGGAUGACUUGAGUGCAGUAGAGGAAAGUGGAACUCCAUGUGUAGCGGUGAAAUGCGUAGAUAUAUGGAAGAACACCAGUGGCGAAGGCGGCUUUCUGGACUGUAACUGACGUUGAGGCUCGAAAGUGUGGGUAGCAAACAGGAUUAGAUACCCUGGUAGUCCACACCGUAAACGAUGAGUGCUAGAUGUUCGAGGGUUUCCGCCCUUGAGUGUCGCAGCUAACGCAUUAAGCACUCCGCCUGGUGAGUACGACAGCAAGGUUGAACUCAAGGAAUUGACAGGGACCCGCACAAGCGUGGAGCAUGUGGUUAAUUCGAG